AUUCCAGCUCCAAUAGCGUAUAUUAAAGUUGUUGCAGUUAAAAAGCUCGUAGUUGGAUUUCUGACAGGGGGCCGAACACCACUGUAGUGAGUGUUUUGGUACCUGUCAUCCUUCUGUUAACCCUAGCGUCAUUCAUUUGUCGUUGGGCGGACCAGAUACUUUACCUUGAGAAAAUUAGAGUGUUUCAGGCAGGCCUAGCCGGAAUACAUUAGCAUGGAAUAAUGGAAUAGGACUAUAGUCUCGUCGUUGGUUACGUGGACUGCAGUAAUGAUUAACAGGGACAGUCAGGGGCACUCGUAUUCCGCCGAGAGAGGUGAAAUUCUUAGACCAGCGGAAGACGAACCACUGCGAAAGCAUUUGCCAGGGAUGUUUUCAUUA
RNAcentral lists this ribosomal RNA (378 nucleotides) under Prymnesiophyceae sp. RNAcentral's name for it is "partial small subunit ribosomal RNA". It matches the Rfam family "Eukaryotic small subunit ribosomal RNA", at positions 582 to 975 of the family's 1831-position model. The record is from RNAcentral. Lineage: Eukaryota; Haptophyta.